GAGUCAUUGGGACUCUACUAAACCAAAAGGCGCAAUGAAAGUAAAGGUCCGCCUCGCGCGGACCGAGGGAGGAUGGGCCCGUCCGCGGACGGGUGCCGCACUCCCGGGGCGUCUCGUUCUCAUCGCGAGAAGAGGCGCACCCAGAGCGUACACGCUGGGACCCGAAAGAUGGUGAACUAUGCCUGGUCAGGACGAAGUCAGGGGAAACCCUGAUGGAGGUCCGUAGCGAUUCUGACGUGCAAAUCGAUCGUCGGAACUGGGUAUAGGGGCGAAAGACUAAUCGAACCUUCUAGUAGCUGGUUCCCUCCGAAGUUUCCCUCAGGAUAGCUGGCGCUCGCCUUUGCGAGUCUCAUUCGGUAAAGCGAAUGAUUAGAGGCAUUGGGGUCGAAACGGCCUCAACCUAUUCUCAAACUUUAAAUGGGUGAGAUCUCCGGCUUGCUUGAAGCAUGAAGCCGCGAGAGAUCGGAUCACAGAGUGCCAAGUGGGCCACUUUUGGUAAGCAGAACUGGCGCUGUGGGAUGAACCAAACGCCGAGUUAAAGCGCCCAAAUCGACGCUUAUGGGAUACCAUGAAAGGCGUUGGUAACUUAAGACAGCAGGACGGUGG
This 606-nucleotide ribosomal RNA is filed under the name Kheper nigroaeneus. Its description in RNAcentral is "eukaryotic LSU rRNA". It matches the Rfam family "Eukaryotic large subunit ribosomal RNA", at positions 688 to 1251 of the family's 3401-position model. The record is from RNAcentral. Lineage: Eukaryota; Metazoa; Arthropoda; Insecta; Coleoptera; Scarabaeidae.